CCUAGUAACGGCGAGUGAAGCGGCAACAGCUCAAAUUUGAAAGCUAGCCUUCGGGUUCGCAUUGUAAUUUGUAGAGGAUGAUUUGGGGAAGCCGCCUGUCUAAGUUCCUUGGAACAGGACGUCAUAGAGGGUGAGAAUCCCGUAUGUGACAGGAAAUGGCACCCUAUGUAAAUCUCCUUCGACGAGUCGAGUUGUUUGGGAAUGCAGCUCUAAAUGGGAGGUAAAUUUCUUCUAAAGCUAAAUAUUGGCGAGAGACCGAUAGCGCACAAGUAGAGUGAUCGAAAGAUGAAAAGCACUUUGGAAAGAGAGUUAAAAAGCACGUGAAAUUGUUGAAAGGGAAGCGCUUGCAAUCAGACUUGUUUAAACUGUUCGGCCGGUCUUCUGACCGGUUUACUCAGUUUGGACAGGCCAGCAUCAGUUUCGGCGGCCGGAUAAAGGCUCUGGGAAUGUGGCCUCCACUUCGGUGGAGGUGUUAUAGCCCAGGGUGUAAUACGGCCAGCCGGGACUGAGGUCCGCGCUUCGGCUAGGAUGCUGGCGUAAUGGUUGUAAGCGACCCGU
This 558-nucleotide ribosomal RNA is filed under the name Aureobasidium proteae. Its description in RNAcentral is "eukaryotic LSU rRNA". It matches the Rfam family "Eukaryotic large subunit ribosomal RNA", at positions 79 to 652 of the family's 3401-position model. Lineage: Eukaryota; Fungi; Ascomycota; Dothideomycetes; Dothideales; Saccotheciaceae. The record is from RNAcentral.